This 432-nucleotide ribosomal RNA is filed under the name uncultured bacterium. RNAcentral's name for it is "bacterial SSU rRNA". It matches the Rfam family "Bacterial small subunit ribosomal RNA", at positions 29 to 507 of the family's 1533-position model. The record is from RNAcentral.
AACGAACGCUGGCGGCAGGCCUAACACAUGCAAGUCGAGCGAGACCUUCGGGUCUAGCGGCGGACGGGUUAGUAACGCGUGGGAACGUGCCCUUCUCUGCGGAAUAGCCACUGGAAACGGUGAGUAAUACCGCAUACGCCCUUCGGGGGAAAGAUUUAUCGGAGAAGGAUCGGCCCGCGUUAGAUUAGAUAGUUGGUGGGUAACGGCCUACCAAGUCUACGAUCUAUAGCUGGUUUUAGAGGAUGAUCAGCAACACUGGGACUGAGACACGGCCCAGACUCCUACGAGAGGCAGCAGUGGGGAAUCUUAGACAAUGGGCGCAAGCCUGAUCUAGCCAUGCCGCGUGUGUGAUGAAGGUCUUAGGAUCGUAAAGCACUUUCGCCAGGGAUGAUAAUGACAGUACCUGGUAAAGAAACCCCGGCUAACUCCGUG